RNAcentral lists this microRNA precursor (128 nucleotides) under Fragaria vesca subsp. vesca. RNAcentral's name for it is "Fragaria vesca miR3627b stem-loop (fve-MIR3627b)". Lineage: Eukaryota; Viridiplantae; Streptophyta; Magnoliopsida; Rosales; Rosaceae. The record is from miRBase by way of RNAcentral.
AUCCUGUCGCAGGAGAGAUGGCACUACCUAGCUUUACGCAUACGUAACGAGAUAUAUACGUACGUGGUAAAUAUAUAUAGAUGAGUUAUUGAUGGUGUAGCAGCUAGCUUGUGCCAUCCUCCUGUGAC